AACGAACGCUGGCGGCAGGCUUAACACAUGCAAGUCGAGCGCCCCGCAAGGGGAGCGGCAGACGGGUGAGUAACGCGUGGGAAUCUACCUUUUGCUACGGAAUAACGCAGGGAAACUUGUGCUAAUACCGUAUGUGUCCUUCGGGAGAAAGAUUUAUCGGCAAGAGAUGAGCCCGCGUUGGAUUAGCUAGUUGGUGGGGUAAAGGCCUACCAAGGCGACGAUCCAUAGCUAGUCUGAGAGGAUGAUCAGCCACAUUGGGACUGAGACACGGCCCAAACUCCUACGGGAGGCAGCAGUGGGGAAUAUUGGACAAUGGGCGCAAGCCUGAUCCAGCCAUGCCGCGUGAGUGAUGAAGGCCCUAGGGUUGUAAAGCUCUUUCACCGGAGAAGAUAAUGACGGUAUCCGGAGAAGAAGCCCCGGCUAACUUCGUGCCAGCCGCCGCG
This 443-nucleotide ribosomal RNA is filed under the name uncultured Hyphomicrobiales bacterium. RNAcentral's name for it is "bacterial SSU rRNA". It matches the Rfam family "Bacterial small subunit ribosomal RNA", at positions 29 to 519 of the family's 1533-position model. The record is from RNAcentral. Lineage: Bacteria; Pseudomonadati; Pseudomonadota; Alphaproteobacteria; Hyphomicrobiales.